Molecule: ribosomal RNA, 71 nt
Filed under: Lysinibacillus sphaericus
Lineage: Bacteria; Bacillati; Bacillota; Bacilli; Caryophanales; Bacillaceae
Also listed under: 5 other names
Description: Bacterial small subunit ribosomal RNA
Rfam family: Bacterial small subunit ribosomal RNA
Source: Rfam by way of RNAcentral
UUUAUGGAGAGUUUGAUCCUGGCUCAGGACGAACGCUGGCGGCGUGCCUAAUACAUGCAAGUCGAGCGAAC